CCCUUAGAUGCUCUGGGCCGCACGCGCGCUACACUGGUCGAUGCAACGAGUUUCUUUCCUUGGCCGACAGGCCUGGGCAAUCUUUGAACAUCGAUCGUGAUCGGGAUAGAUUCUUGUAAUUUUUGAUCUUAAACGAGGAAUUCCUAGUAAACGCAAGUCAUCAGCUUGCAUUGAUUACGUCCCUGCCCUUUGUACACACCGCCCGUCGCCCCUACCGAUUGAAUGGUCCGGUGAAAUCUCCGGACUGGCGUGAGUCGGAGCAAUCUGACAAACGCCGGAAAGUUGAUUAAACCUUACCAUUUAGAGGAAGGUGAAGUCGUAACA
Molecule: ribosomal RNA, 324 nt
Filed under: uncultured eukaryote
Lineage: Eukaryota
Description: partial 18S ribosomal RNA
Rfam family: Eukaryotic small subunit ribosomal RNA
Source: RNAcentral